RNAcentral lists this long non-coding RNA (345 nucleotides) under Homo sapiens (human). RNAcentral describes it as "HSALNT0153526". The record is from RNAcentral. Lineage: Eukaryota; Metazoa; Chordata; Mammalia; Primates; Hominidae.
GGGUGGUAAGCAUGCUAGGGGCUCCGGCCUACAGCCUGUAGUUUUUCAUUUCACGUUGCUGGGUUUUCUAAGAAUGGUCUUCUUUGUUUCCAUUUUGAGUCAUGGCUGAAUUCUUAUAUGUUGUCUGAUCUUCAAGCUCAAAUACCCAAGGGACCAGGCAGCUGUGAAUCAACCCUGCCAGAUGUUUUAUCCUGCUAUGUUAAGUCAUCUUGACAUGUUGCCAUGAAAUGGAAACAACUGCUCGUUUUAAUAUUGCUCCAUAUCUUUAUUACAAGGUACGUCUCAUGCAUCUUAAUUCCUCGUAUUUUCCCUCACUGUCGUUCUCUGAUCUUCUUCAUCCCAACC